Molecule: unclassified non-coding RNA, 337 nt
Filed under: soil metagenome
Description: partial contains 5.8S ribosomal RNA, internal transcribed spacer 2, and large subunit ribosomal RNA
Rfam family: 5.8S ribosomal RNA (bases 1-120)
Source: RNAcentral
GAUGAAGAACGUAGCGAAAUGCGAUAAGUAGUGUGAAUUGCAGAAUUCAGUGAAUCAUCGAAUCUUUGAACGCACAUUGCGCCCCAUGGUAUUCCGUGGGGCAUGCCUGUUCGAGCGUCAUUUACCCCCUCAAGCUCAGCUUGGUGAUGGGUGUCUGUCCCGCCUUUGCGCGUGGACUCGCCUCAAAUGCAGUUGGCAGCUUAUCCCUCGGCUCUAAACGCAGCAGAUUUGCGUCGAGCGUCGUGUGGACGGGCUCUCCAGUAAGCAAACCCCCCAAAAUUGACCUCGGAUCAGGUAGGGAUACCCGCUGAACUUAAGCAUAUCAAUAAGCGGAGGA